RNAcentral lists this unclassified non-coding RNA (336 nucleotides) under soil metagenome. RNAcentral's name for it is "partial contains 5.8S ribosomal RNA, internal transcribed spacer 2, and large subunit ribosomal RNA". The stretch from base 1 to 120 matches the Rfam family "5.8S ribosomal RNA", at positions 35 to 154 of the family's 154-position model. The record is from RNAcentral.
GAUGAAGAACGUAGCGAAAUGCGAUAAGUAAUGUGAAUUGCAGAAUUCCGUGAAUCAUCGAAUCUUUGAACACACAUUGCGCCCCCUGGUAUUCCGGGGGGCAUGCCUGUCCGAGCGUCAUUGCAACCUUCAAGCGCGGCUUGUGUGUUGGGUCUCGUCCCCCGUGGACGGGCCCGAAAGGCAGUGGCGGCGUCCCGACAUGGUGCCCGAGCGUAUGGGAAUCCUCUUCCGCUCGAAUCGGCCCAUGCGGCGCUGGUCGUAACCAAAUUUUUUACCGGUUGACCUCGGAUCAGGUAGGGAUACCCGCUGAACUUAAGCAUAUCAAUAAGCGGAGGA